AGGCAGAAGGAGUUACUGGAGCAGCAGGAGCUGGCGGCUCUGCAGGAGGAGGAGAAUCGGAUCUGUCGCGAGGACGAGAGGAAGAGGAGGGAGGAGGAGGAGCGAAGGCAGAAGGAGCAGCGCUGGAAGGACAUGCAGGAUCAGCUGGACAGAGAGAGGGAGGAGGCGUGCCUGCGGGCCCAGAAGGAGGCGGAGAGGAAGCGGCAGGAGAGAGAGCUGCUCCACAUUCAGGAGGAGCAGGAGAGACUGCAGAGGAAGAAGGUGUGUGUGUGUGUGUGUGUGUGUGUGUGUGUGUGUGUGUGUGUGUGUGUGUGUGUGUGUGUGUGUGUGUGUGUGUGUGUGUGUGUGUGUGUGUGUGUGUGUGUGUGUGAGAGACUUCAGAGGAAGGUGCUCAGCAAAGUGUGUGUGUGUGUGUUUGAGAGACAUCUGAGGGAGAGGGGUGUGUGUGUGUGUGUGUGUGUGUGUUUAUGUUUGUAUGUGUGAGAACAUGCCUCAUAGUGUUUGUGUGUGUGUGUAUGUGUGUGUGUGUGUGUGUGUGUUUAUGUUUGUAUGUGUGAGAACAUGCCUCAUAGUGAUUGUGUGUGUGUGUAUGUGUGUGUGUGUGUGUGCGUGUGUGUGUGUGAGCUCUUGCAUCAUAGUGUAGGUGUAUGAGUGUGUGUGUUUUUGUGUGUGGUGAGAUUAUAAAAAAAUCUAUUGUAAUGCCCUUUCAUUUAAGAGCAAUACUUUUGAGUGAACAAACUCAUGAUCACGGGAGAGCAUGAGAUUGCAGUCGUGUUCUGUAAGAAGAAAAGGUCAAUCAUGCAUGCAUAAAACACAAAUUUCCACCUAUAAGCUUAACUGUGUGCGGAGUUUGGAAUUUGAAUAGUAUGCAAUAUACUGGUCCCAAGAAGCCUCACUUCUGGAUCACCGUUUGAAACAAAUAGGAUUCACAAUAGGAUAUGGGAUCAGUGAGGAGGAAUGAAUAUAUGGAUUCUAACUGAUGUCUCCAUGAGCACACAGAGGAUCGAAGAAAUCAUGAAGAGGACCAGAAAGACAGAGGGAGAGCUGCAGUCUCCUGCCCCAGUGUCGGAUGCCAGGGGCCCGCCCGGCCUCAUUGGGGAGGACGAGGCCCCUCGUCCCGCUGAAGCCCCCCACAUCAUGCUGGGGCCCCUGGAGACCAAGAGCUGCCUGGACGAGCUGUCCGACGGCGUGCAGUCCAUGGACGUCAGCCCUGUGUCCCGGGACGACCAGGCCAGCGCCCAGGACUUCUCCCCGGUCACCGAGGGGGGCGGCGAUGUCCCCUACGGCCUGGAGCACAUGUCGGAGCUCUCCCUGCACGGGCCCCCCGGGGACACCCCCGCCUACCCCAAGCUGCAUGCGGGCAGUGGGGCCGCGCUGGGCGACCUCAACAAGAACCUGCUGAUCCAGGCCUACAGCGCCGCCUCCGAGUCCUCCCAGCUCAUCCACAGCCUUGGGCCGGGGAAGCUAGACGUCCUGUAGCCAGGCCAAUGUUACCCACGGGGGUGUGGGGGGGCCCAGAAGCAGUCGGACCGGACUCUCUGUCAUCAUCAUCCUUCGCGGACCAGAACCCGCCCCCCGCCUCAACCCGCACAACCUCCAGCCCGCACCGGGAGCCGGAGACGCCCCCCUCCCCCACCCCUCUCCCCCUGUGCCUUCCGCAGGGAGCCGUCGCUAUAUCCUUGGCCCCUCCUCCAUGUAACCCCCCCCCCCCUCCCCCACACACACACAUCCAUACACACACAUAACUCACACCGUAAACGCAACUGCAUACCUUUAACCAGCAGGGUUAAAGCCGGGGUCGGGAAAAGCAAGUGCACCGUAAUCCACCUUCCUGUCCGCAGUACUGACGCCCUGAGGCGCCGCCGCUGGCCGCGGGUCAGGUGCAGUAGCACUCUGUACAUAGAGCCCACUCAGCAAGGGGGGGGGGGGGGGGGGGCACCACUACCAGAACAUGAGUACGAUCCGUGGGGCGGACGGGGUAGAUUUUGUCACGUGACUUAUGGUUGCUAGGGUAGAUAACGUGUAUACAGUUCAUGGGGUAUAAAUAUAUAAAUAAAUAUAUAUAUGCAUAGUGGGGGAGGGCUGCUUAAAGACGUGGGUCAUGAUGCCGGCGUCUCUGAACGCCGUCAUGGCCUCUCUCCUGGUCUGUGUUCUCUGGUGGGUCCUCCUGUGAGUGUGUAGCAGCACGGACUCCUCCCGUCUUCGACGUCCAUAAGAACCCCCACCACGCGACGCUACACAAUCGACUGUAGAUAAUGCUAACGCGCCCCAACUGCCGCGGAGGGAAAUGUUAUUAAUAACUGGAUAUUAUAGUCCUGCUUUUAAACCCCUGAAAAAUAGUAGCUUAUGCUUUUGUUACUGGUCAUGAGGAUAAAAAACAGCAACAAUGUAAAGUGUGUAAAGGAGUGUUUAAGAGAGGGAGGGAGUGUGUGUGUGUGUGUGUGUGUGUGUGUGUGUGUGUGUGUGUGUGUGUGUGUGUGUGUGCGUGUGCGUGUGUGCGUACGUACGUGCGUCUUUGUGCGCCUGUGCAAUUCUCUUUUUUUAUCUAUCUGCAGUUGAGGAAAAUAUUGAUACAGUGCGUUUGGUGUCGUGUAUUCGUUUCCACUCACCGUAACUGCGCUAGCUUUAGCUUAGCUUAGGUCCCCCGUACACUUAGCUGUGAUUCACUGGUCUGGAACUAACCCACCUCCUCCCUCCCUCCCGCUGGGUUCAGAUCCGGUUGCCAGGUCCAGAGAUGGUGUUAGGACACCCCCCCCCCCCCCCUCCCCCCUUACACUUACUGGAAAGCUCGUUCUAGAAAAUAAGCGUCUGCAGAAAUAAAGAACACCUCACAAACACUAAGGAAGCCUGGUUGGUAAGACCGCCGGCGCCACGCAACCCCUCACCUUGAGGCCUUAAACCUCUCCGCCGCUGGGCUCUCAUUGGCUGAGCCCGCUCCGCUGCUGUGUGAUCAAUUGAAAUGGAUUUGCUGUGAUCCAUUGGUUUUCCUCCCUCCCAAACCCCCUCCCUCCUCAUUAUAGCCCUCUUUGCUUCGCUCUCAGGGUGUGUGUGUGUGUUGUGUGCACUAGCAUGUGUUCUUCAGUCUGGGCCCAUGUAACCGCGGCCAUCCCUAGCGGUCCUAAGGUAGACCAGAGUGUGCACACAUGUCAGUGUGACGUUUGAUCAAUGGGUCGUGCUUAAGGUUGCCAUGUCUGUGUCAGCAACCCUCUUUCCAGGUCCAUGUUUUGAUUUUUGAAUUGUUUUCCAUUCACCGUCGAUGUUAUUGGUAACGGUUGUCCCCGGGUUCCCUGAGGUAUGUCAGUCUCCUUGUAUAGGAAGUGAACAUUAAAAGGAUAUAGUCGUGUUUAUCACAAUAUUACCUUAUUAAUUCCGUGACACUGCAGCUUGGUGGAAUAUAUUAUUGUAUGUGUGGUGCAUGGAUAACUGCUGAAAAUAACAAUAAAACCAUCAAAGUAUUUUGUGUCCUGAGUCGUUCAAUAAGAGGAAACCGUAGAUUCAAUCAUUUUGCUGACACUUUUAUCCCGAGUGAUUGGCAAGUGACAAAAAAAUUGCUGCUCAAACAAGUAAAAAAAUAGGCAAUUGGUCAGUUUAACCUACCCUGUCUCUGAUUAUUCCCUAUUCUUUACAGUGUUUGUUUCCAACACCAAUUAAUCACUUUUCCUUCUCUGUAUCCAUCCACAAUGUAGUAGACAUGAAAAAAGCCUUGAUCGAUAGAUGGUCAAACCAUCAAUAUCCAAAAUGAAGGUAACCUGCAUACCUGCUCAAUUUUAUAUGAUUAUUGUUACUGAGUUUUACCUCAAUUAACAACGUUGGAUGCAUUUGUAUUUCCCCAGUUCCCCAUGUACAGUACAGGGUGAAGUUGGCAUGGUUAUUUUGUCAAAUGUAUUCAAUACCUGUUCCAUGUUUGCGGCAGAGAUUACAAAUAAAGAACAAUUGGAUUUCCCUUCACCCACACACAUUACUAAUGCUAACAUAACAGUUGGUGUAGUAUGAUAGGCUAUCCUAAUAGCCCACCAAUGACCUGUUGUGAAUAGUAUGUUUCUUCUUUCAAAAGCAAUAAAUACUGUAAAACCCUUGCUUGCCUCUAUGAAGUCUGCCAAUAUUUAUAAAAUAACCUUAUUCAUGAAAUAAAAACAAAAAAAACGAU
Gadus morhua (Atlantic cod) is the source of this 4147-nucleotide long non-coding RNA. Lineage: Eukaryota; Metazoa; Chordata; Actinopteri; Gadiformes; Gadidae. The record is from Ensembl.